CAAUUUUAUGAGGUACCAGGGGCUUCUGUAUAUAUUAUUUAGGUUAAUCUUUUUAUUUACCCAAUGGGACUCAGUGCUCAGUCUAGAAGAUACCAUCAGAGAUGCUUAGCUUUGCAGUUCUCAAACUGUAGAUUUGUGAUCCAGAGAUAAAAACCAUUUUUGCUAUUAACAAGCUAUUAAAUAAAUAAAUAAAUAAAUAUGUAGAGGUGAGAAAUAACAGAUCUCAACCCUACUGUUCCUCUGCAAAUUUGUGUACACAGAGUCAAUCCCUUACCUCUCUCUAAAAGUGCAGUUUCAAAAAGUUCAAUGAAUAGAAGAUUGUUAGGGGAGGAAUAGAUCUGGACAAGGAGAAGAAGUCUGGAGAUAAAUAUGAGAAGGGAGGGACACGCAGUAGAAACAAAAGUGAAACUGUUUGAGCAGCAUAUUCCAGAAGUCUCGAGGUCUUUCUGAGUGUAGCCUUCAUUGAUUUGAGAGCUACCAUACCAUUCUCUCACUAGAAGGGAAAACCUAUAAUGGCAGCAGGCUGUAAAAGAGACCCAGUUUGAAAAUAUUUUAAUGAAGUUCCUCUACCUGUGGGUAAGACAAGCAUGCGUGCAAAAUGCAAACAGUGCAACAAAGAAAUGCAAGGCCUAGUUUCUCAAAUGAAAGUGUUCCUUCUCAGGAGGAAGCUGCGUUGAAGAUGGUGAAAGGAACAUGUCUGAACAUGCAGAGGAUAUUCAGUGACAUCACUGGCCCGCUGGCAGGAUUUGAGGACUGGCACUGGCUCUAAGAUUUUAAAGCCAGAAGAGAUCGUUAUGGUCAUCUAACUUGCCCUCUUGUGUAAUACAGAUCACAGAAUUUCACCCAGUGAUUCCUCAAUCAAACUCACAUGCUCUAGCUUUUAGAACAGGGAUUGGCAACCUUUGGCACACAACUUACUACAGUAAACACGUUGGCGGGCUGGGCCAGUUUGUUUACCUGUCGCAUCCGCAGGUUUGGCUGAUCGUGGCUCCCACUGGCUGCGGUUUGCCGCUCCAGGCCAAUGGAGGCUGCGGGAAGCCGCAUGGGCUGAGGGAUGUGGCUUACCCUAGCGAGCCAUGUGCCAAAGGUUGCCAAUCCCUGUUUUAGAAAGCCAUUCAAUAUUGAUUUAACAUCUAAUUUUUGGGUUGACAAAAUUAGUUUAAAAUUUGCCAGAUUUACUCUGAUAACAAAAGAGAAUUUUUUUUUGAAAAUUCAAACUGUUUUUGAAUUAAGUCAUUAAACACAUUCUUGAUCUGAAGUUGACUUGUGUGUCACCCUUUGUAGUAGUUUACCUCUUCAUUCUUUAUGUAUAAUUAAAUCUCUUUGAAAAUUCAUACAUUUAUUGUAAUUAGCAACAUUAAUUUAUUUUUGUUAUGGAUUUCAAAGCACUAUAUGUAGUUAAUACAUUCAAUUAACGUUUAUGGCUGUCCUACUGAAGGCUAGAACAUGUUCUGAAAGUUUUAAAUUAAGU
Long non-coding RNA from Gopherus flavomarginatus (Mexican gopher tortoise), 1471 nucleotides. RefSeq lists it as uncharacterized. Lineage: Eukaryota; Metazoa; Chordata; Testudines; Testudinidae. The transcript is spliced from 3 exons. The record is from RefSeq and is a predicted model, not a curated record.